Molecule: non-coding RNA, 70 nt
Organism: Rattus norvegicus (Norway rat)
Lineage: Eukaryota; Metazoa; Chordata; Mammalia; Rodentia; Muridae
Source: Rfam
GGGGAUUUAGCUCAGUGGUAGAGCACUUGCCUAGCAAGUGCAAGGCCCUGGGGUCGGUCCUCAGAUCCCA